Molecule: non-coding RNA, 659 nt
Organism: Sciurus carolinensis (gray squirrel)
Lineage: Eukaryota; Metazoa; Chordata; Mammalia; Rodentia; Sciuridae
Source: the annotation of a RefSeq genome assembly
UCCACUCAGUGCCCCAAGGCUCAGAUACUGCGACCUUCCUGCCUGCACAGAUACCUGUAGCAUCGCCACCACUCAGCCAUGCUCCUGCUGCUCGUGCCAGUGCUGGCGAUGAUUUUCGCCCAGAGAGGAAGCAGAGCCCAGUCGGUGUCCCAGCCUGACCGCCACGUCAUGGUCUCUGAAGGAAUCCCCCUGGAGCUUAGGUGCAGCUACUCAUCUUCUUUCUCUCCCUAUCUCUUCUGGUACUACCAACGCCCCAACCAAGGCCUCCAGCUCCUCCUGAAGUACAUGUCAGGGGCCACCCUGGUUAAAGGCAUCAAUGGUUUCCAGGCUGAACUGAGGAAGAAUGAAACCUCCUUCCACCUGAGGAAGCCCUCAGCCCAUUGGAGCGACUCAGCUGAGUACUUCUGUGCUCUGAGUGACACAGUGCCUGGGGCUGCAGGGGGAGCUGAGCACAAACCUGAAAUGACACAGGGGACUUUGUGUGACCCACGGGCUCAAGCUGGGGAAUUUUCAAGAGGUUUUCAUUUUCUGUGCAGCCCAAGAGGGCAGGGUGGCUGAGCACAUGGGCGUGUUUUGUCUCCUAAAUACUUGCCUCCAUGUCUGUCCUGCUGCCUUUAGUCUGACUGUGUCCCAGAUGAAGGUCUUGUGAUGAAUUUCUC